Molecule: ribosomal RNA, 490 nt
Filed under: Antillattus cf. applanatus JXZ-2013
Lineage: Eukaryota; Metazoa; Arthropoda; Arachnida; Araneae; Salticidae
Description: partial 16S ribosomal RNA
Rfam family: Bacterial large subunit ribosomal RNA (bases 99-393)
Source: RNAcentral
UUUUAAAUGAAGACUAGAACAAAAGAUUUAACAUUCAAAUCUAUUUAUUUAUUCUAAAUUUUUAAUUUAUUCUAAAUGUAAAAAAACAUUUCUAAAAAAGAAAGACGACAAGACCCUAUUGAACUUAACUUUAGUUAAACUGGGGCAGUAAAUUAAUUAUUAUUUUAAUAUAAAUUUAAUUAUAAAAAUCCAAACAAAUUGAUAUAUCCAGUUACCAUAGGGAUAACAGCGCAAUUAUAUUUUUAAGCUCUUAUCUAAAAAAUAGAUUACGACCUCGAUGUUGAAUUAAUUACCUAAUUAAGGCAAAAUUUAAAAUAGGAAGUCUGUUCGACUUUUAAAUAAUUACAUGAUUUGAGUUCAGACCGGUGUAAGCCAGGUCGGUUUCUAUCUUCUAAUUUAAUUUUUACAGUACGAAAGGACCUAAAAAUAUAAAUUAAUUUAUUUAAUUUGGCAGAAAAAUGCGUUAGAAUUAGAAUCUAAUAAAACUCAU